CUUCCAUAAAUGCUCCGAAUGACUUCAAUUCUUCGCUAAUUGCCACAACAACCACCCUACACAUAAAAGAACACAAAACGAGUAAAAACGAACAUGAAAACAAGAAAGUAACAACGAUUAAGCUCGAAAUGGACAACGAUUCGUGGAUAUGAAUUCCACUUAUCAAAAUCCCCCAAACUUAAACCGUGCUAGUCCUCGAGCAAAAAACAAACUACAUACUAUGCAAUGCAAUGAGAUGGAAUAUAUUUAAUAUAAAUAAUCACAAGUCCAACAGUAUCACAUAAUCAAAAUUAUCUCACUGGCCUCAGAGAAAACAAGCGAACUCUACAAUAUUAAACACCAAAACCAAUCAAGAAUUCCUUAUUAAUUCUCAAAUCUUAAACCAUUAUCACUGGUAUAAUGUGCGUGUGUGUUCAACAUCCAUGACAACUGAUACGGACUCAAUUUUUUUUUCUUUUCAUAGAUAGAUGGUUGGCGAGUGCGUUUUACGCUCCAUCUCACGCUCGUGUUUAUGGGGAGUAUAUUUUCCUCAACCCACCAUAAGACUCAACUAGAUAUUAUUAUUUUUUUUAAAGCUUAUAUACCCUACCUUUCUCUUCCAAACUUAAGUUCUUGCCUAAUUCAUCAUUUUAACUGCCUAUCAUGUCAUUUUCUCAUUCACCCUAGCAUUAUCCUUUAGAAAAUCUUUAUGUAUCACUUUGAACUAACCAGUCACACAGAUGUUAUUAGCGUGCUAACCUUUUUAUACCAGUUUCAAACAAGCACAAGAUUCGAUUCAUAACAGAAACUAUAUCACAGUUCUAAUAAUCAAUGUUGUAUUGCUUAACUUAUUCUCAAUCUCAUCAUUGGCCCAAAAUAACAUGAACUGCAACACUGCUGGACAUACGCAAACACAAUAUGUAACUAAAUUAAAUUUUUUUUAGAUUAAAAAUCAAACAUAACAUGACGUAAUGCAAUAACAAAAACAAAAAUAAAAAUGAAAUAACAAAAGUGAUCUAAACUACUAUGAACUAAUAUGCAAAACUAGAAUGCAAUGACAAAUGUAAGCCUAACUAAUGACAUUAUGCAUGCAAACAAGAAUUUAAAUCCCCCAAACUUAAGAAAUAAAAUGCCCUCAUUGGAUGAAUAAUCGCAAUUAAGUGUAUGAGGACUUCCCUGCAAUCGCCUAAGUCUAGGGAGGUGGUGGUUGAUCUUCGUCCUCCGAAUCACUUGGCAGAAACCUUGGCAUUGGCAUGGGCUGCUGAUAUGGAAAUUGCGCAGCUGGAUUGAAUCUCUGAAGUGUCGUGGUGAGUGAAGCGAAAGACGUGUUUAUAGCAUCAAAUAUGUGGUCUUGCCUCAAUGCGAGUCACCGCAUCUCCCGACGUGCUGCUUUGUUGUGUGCAUCCAUUUAACGUUGAAAGUCAAGAAAUUGAGGAUUGGAUAAUGCCUCGGACUGCGGUACCUGCUCGGUUCCUUGAUCUCCC
RNAcentral lists this long non-coding RNA (1463 nucleotides) under Panax ginseng (ginseng). Its description in RNAcentral is "long non-coding RNA (PGIN_LNC018955)". Lineage: Eukaryota; Viridiplantae; Streptophyta; Magnoliopsida; Apiales; Araliaceae. The record is from RNAcentral.